Molecule: ribosomal RNA, 284 nt
Filed under: Staphylococcus aureus
Lineage: Bacteria; Bacillati; Bacillota; Bacilli; Caryophanales; Staphylococcaceae
Description: partial 16S ribosomal RNA
Rfam family: Bacterial small subunit ribosomal RNA
Source: RNAcentral
GGACGAACGCUGGCGGCGUGCCUAAUACAUGCAAGUCGAGCGGACAGAUGGGAGCUUGCUCCCUGAUGUUAGCGGCGGACGGGUGAGUAACACGUGGGUAACCUGCCUGUAAGACUGGGAUAACUCCGGGAAACCGGGGCUAAUACCGGAUGAUUGUUUGAACCGCAUGGUUCAGACAUAAAAGGUGGCUUCGGCUACCACUUACAGAUGGACCCGCGGCGCAUUAGCUAGUUGGUGAGGUAACGGCUCACCAAGGCAACGAUGCGUAGCCGACCUGAGAGGGU